This 563-nucleotide ribosomal RNA is filed under the name uncultured bacterium. RNAcentral's name for it is "bacterial SSU rRNA". It matches the Rfam family "Bacterial small subunit ribosomal RNA", at positions 338 to 917 of the family's 1533-position model. The record is from RNAcentral.
CCUACGGGAGGCAGCAGUGGGGAAUAUCGGACAAUGGGCGAAAGCCUGAUCCAGCAAUGCCGCGUGUGUGAAGAAGGCCUGCGGGUUGUAAAGCACUUUCAGUUGGGAAGAUGAUGACGUUACCAACAGAAGAAGCACCGGCUAAAUCCGUGCCAGCAGCCGCGGUAAUACGGAUGGUGCGAGCGUUAAUCGGAAUUACUGGGCGUAAAGCGCGCGUAGGCGGCUAAGUCAGUCAGAAGUGAAAGCCCCGGGCUCAACCUGGGAAUUGCUUUUGAUACUGCUUAGCUAGAGUUUGGUAGAGGAUAGUGGAAUUCCAGGUGUAGCGGUGAAAUGCGUAGAUAUCUGGAGGAACAUCAGUGGCGAAGGCGACUGUCUGGACCAAAACUGACGCUGAGGUGCGAAAGCGUGGGUAGCAAACAGGAUUAGAUACCCUGGUAGUCCACGCCGUAAACGAUGUCAACUAGCCGUCGGACCUAUUUACAGGUUUGGUGGCGCAGCUAACGCGAUAAGUUGACCGCCUGGGGAGUACGGCCGCAAGGUUAAAACUCAAAGGAAUUGACGGA